RNAcentral lists this ribosomal RNA (308 nucleotides) under uncultured bacterium. RNAcentral describes it as "bacterial SSU rRNA". It matches the Rfam family "Bacterial small subunit ribosomal RNA", at positions 774 to 1077 of the family's 1533-position model. The record is from RNAcentral.
AGUAAAUAGAUACCCCGGUAGUCCACGCCGUAAACGAUGUCGACUUGGAGGUUGUGCCCUUGAGGCGUGGCUUCCGGAGCUAAACGCGUUAAAGUCGACCGCCUGGGGAGUACGGCCGCAAGGUUAAAACUCAAAUGAAUUGACGGGGGUCCCGCACAAGCGGUGGAGCAUGUGGUUUAAUUCGAUGCAACGCGAAGAACCUUACCUACUCUUGACAUCCAGAGAACUUAGCAGAGAUGCUUUGGUGCCUUCGGGAACUCUGAGACAGGUGCUGCAUGGCUGUCGUCAGCUCGUGUUGUGAAACUGUU